GGCGGAGUAGCUCAGCUGGUUAGAGCAUCGGAAUCAUAAUCCGAGUGCCGGGGGUUCGAGUCCCUCCUCCGCUA
RNAcentral lists this transfer RNA (74 nucleotides) under Fidelibacterota bacterium. RNAcentral describes it as "tRNA-Met". It matches the Rfam family "tRNA". From Rfam's summary of the family: Transfer RNA (tRNA) molecules are approximately 80 nucleotides in length. Their secondary structure includes four short double-helical elements and three loops (D, anti-codon, and T loops). Further hydrogen bonds mediate the characteristic L-shaped molecular structure. tRNAs have two regions of fundamental functional importance: the anti-codon, which is responsible for specific mRNA codon recognition, and the 3' end, to which the tRNAs corresponding amino acid is attached (by aminoacyl-tRNA synthetases). tRNAs cope with the degeneracy of the genetic code in two manners: having more than one tRNA (with a specific anti-codon) for a particular amino acid; and 'wobble' base-pairing, i.e. permitting non-standard base-pairing at the 3rd anti-codon position. Lineage: Bacteria; Pseudomonadati; Fidelibacterota. The record is from RNAcentral.